Molecule: long non-coding RNA, 4207 nt
Organism: Mercenaria mercenaria
Lineage: Eukaryota; Metazoa; Mollusca; Bivalvia; Venerida; Veneridae
Exons: 11
Source: RefSeq, a predicted model, not a curated record
UCAGAACGAUGUGCAGAAAUUAUGAGUCAACCAUGCCAGCUCAAGGUCAAGGUCACAACUAAGGGUCGAAGGUUUGAGCCUUCCAUUUUUUGUCCACUCUGUAUCUCCUUAACCCCUUGAAGGAUUUUCAUCAAACUUGAGUCAAAUGAUCACCUCAUCAAGAACUCAUGAGUCAGCCAUGUCAACUCAAGGUCAAGGUCACAACUGAAGGUCAAAGGUUUCAGCUCUGUAUCUCCUAAACCCCUUGAAGGAUUUUCAUGAAACUUUGGUCAAAUGAUCACCUCAUCAAGAUGUUGUGUAGAAUUCAUGAGUCAGCCAUGUCAGUUCAAGGUCAAGGUCACAGCUAAAAUCAAAGGUUUACCCUUUCACUAUCUAUAGCAGUGGCGGGGGAUUUAGCUGUCUUUCAGACUGCCUUGUUCAGUAUAAUAUUGGUUUUGCAUCUGAUGAAGCUUGGCUAGCUUUCAUUUUUGCUAAGUUUUCUUUUUAUUAGUCAUCUUUGCAGUCUUUGUUCCGGUGAAGGUUAAAAAGUAGGAAGCUGAAAUGAUAGCAGUGCAUGAUGUAGUGCCAGUAGAUUUAAGAUAGUCAUGAGUUUGCUACACCUUGGAGAUUUUUUAUGCAUUCAGUUUUGUUAUGGUCUUUUAGAUUUAGCAGUAAAUUAUUAUAGCUAACUUUGGUAAAUAAAUUUCUUAUAUGAUAGGUUUCCAUUGGUGCUGUUUUCUGGCUGUGGCCAAGUUUUUUUUCCCUUUUUUACUGAUGUCGAGGCCUGACAGAUCCCUUUACUGUUGAUCCACACAGCUAUCGAUGCCAUUUAGGAUCCCAGUGACAAUAUAUCCGCAGCGUGGAGUCGUGUUGGAGAUACUGGUCUACAAUAUUUGGCCGGCAGUGUUUAGAUGAUGGUUUCUCCAGUGUUGAGAGAGAUGGGAAUCGGAAAUUGUCAGGUUCUUUUCGCCUUCCAUUUUCAGCAUUUGCUUCUUUUCCAUAUUUUAAGGUCUGUCUCACAGUCUGUGAUAAAUUCUUUGAUCCUUUUGACUGCCAAUCAAGACUACUAACGGUACCAUUGAAGGAUUCUGGUGACAAUAUAUCCGCAAAAUGGGGUCGUUUAGGAGUAACAGAUCUACAUUUCUGGGCCAGCGGUUUGCUAGACGACUGUUGUUCCUGUGUUGAGAGAGGUGGAAUCAAGGAUUUUCAAGAUUUGUCUCUGUACUAGGUCUUAAUCUGCCAGCAAUUGCUGAUAUCUGUUUAACUUGUUUGCAAUAUAGACUGGACAGAACUUCUUUUUCAAGGACUUUCCAAAAUGUAUUUUUCCUUACCAGAAUAGGCAAAAUAUGACAGAAUAGUUUUGUAAGCCAUCUGAAUUUUUACCAAGUACUGUCUAAUAUUUUUUCAAUUUUUUUUGUAUUCAAUCUAAUUUCUUUUAAGACAUGUUAUAAAGUAAGCACUUAUAAGUUUAUUGGACAUGAUAAGGCCUUGGUGUAGCUGCUCAUGCAGAAUAAGUUCACAUGCACUUUCAUAAUUUUAAAAAUACUUAUUACCAAGGGUUAAGUUUUGUUACACUCUCCGCUUGAAUAUAAUUCUUUAUACCGACAUUAGGUCAAAUAGUUUAGAUCAAUGAAAUGGUCAAAAUUGUGACAGUUAAUAGCAUCUGUUCAAUAACUAAAAGAAUUUUCUUUGAAGUAAGCCAGUAUCACAGUAGAAAUUAUUUAAACUUCUGUUUCUUUAUUUAAUAGCCAGUUCCUAACAGUAUCUCUAUUAAAUUUUGCCGGUUCUGUGAAAUUUGAUAUUUUCUCUAUUUAAAUAUAAAACUUUUGACAGUAUCUCUUGAUAACUUGAUAUCUACUAGAUUUGAAUAUUUUAGGCCAUGUUUCUUCCAUUCUUUUGGCAGCUUUUUCUUUCUUUUUAUUGAUAAUUUCAGGAUGAGAGUGGUUGUAUUCUAAUUGCUGUAUAAGCAUGAAAUCUCCUGGUCUUGUGCGGAAGACAUCUAUGAAUCGAUCAACCAGAUGUAUACCUCUAAUUUAAAAUGCUGAGUAAUUACACGCUGAUGUUAUGGGCUCAGUUUAUACGCCAUGAGAAGAUAUCGAAGAAUCCCGUGUUCCAAGCUAUCCUACCUCAGCUUAUAGAAUCUGCCUCAAAAACAUUACUCAAAGCUGACAAGUCUAUGAUUGGUGAUCUACACCUUCUUCAUAACCCAAGUUUUUUCUGAUGUCUGCCAUCAUUCCAGUUGACUCUCACAGUGGUGAACUUUAUAACAGCUGUCAGAAUGGGAACCAGAACAAUUACCUCGGUGAAAGCCAAAACAUUUUCAUUGUUCAACAAACCAAUGCAAAUCAUGUGACACUUGCUGAGAGUGCAUGUUCAUUCAGCAGGCAGUUGGUAAAGGACCAAAAAAACGAGCACAAAGCAAGGAAGGAAGGCUUGAGAGCAGAGACUUUCAUUAUUUCCAUGCAUGGAAACUGAAAUGAUGACGGUCCUUGUGUAGAGAUCUAGACACUUUGUUCCCAAGGUGAUGUGAAAUGGUGCGAAGUGUUGUGUAUGUCUUCUGCCUUCACUCUACUACAUGGAUCUUCAGUAUCUUCAAUUAGUACCGGAACUGUGAUGACACUGAGGAAAUAUUCUACAAUCUUCACCAUGGUUAUGGUUGAAUAGGGAUUCCCACAUAGCAAUUGCUGUGCAGUGUAAUGCCAGCAUGUAUGUUUUUCUAAGCAAGCCACAGUGUGUCAAGGUGGAAGCUGUGCAUCUGGACAGGUUUCCAUUGGUGCUGUUUUCUGGCUGUGGCCAAGUUUUUUUUCAUUUUUUUUACUGAUGUUGAGGCCUGACAGAUCCCUUUACUGUUGAUCCACACAGCUAUCGAUGCCAUUUAGGAUCUCGGUGACAAUAUAUCCACAGCGUGGAGUCGUGUUGAAGAUACUGGUCUACAAUAUUUGGCCGGCAGUGUUUAGAUGAUGGUUUCUCCAGUGUUGAGAGAGAUGGGAAUCGGAAAUUGUCAGGAUGAGAGUGGUUGUAUUCCAAUGGCUGUAAGCAUGAAAUCACCUGGCCUUGUGCGGAAGACAUCUAUGAAUCGAUCAACCAGAUGUAUACCUCUAAUUUAAACUCCUGAAAAUCCCCAUGGUUGUGGGCGGUGCAGACAGAAUGUGAGCCAGGAAGUACAUCUGUAAAAGCCCAGACAUUCCAUCUUCAGGAGUAUCUUCAUUCUUCAAGUCUGUACAAGAGAUCUAUAUGAGGAUGAUAGCCAAGAAAUACAGCAUUCAGCACAUCAUAUCAAUCCAACUGAAGGACAAAGUAUCCAUUGAUGUAGUUGCAUCUUAGCUAAGAAGUUAACUUGGAUCUGCUUCACAGGGAGUCAUUGAUGAUCAACUAAGUAGUAGGAUACAGUUUUCUGAUCAGAUGAAAUCACUUUAUCUUAUCUGGCUGGAAUUUAAAGAGCUGAGACUACCAUCAGGAAAAUCUACCAUGUAAUAACACUAAACCAGAACAUUGCUACUGAGUCUACUACACAGUAACGCUGACUAGGAAAUUGCUAUUGAGUCUGCCACACAGUAAUGCUGACUAGGAAAUGGCUAUCGAGUCUGCCACACAGUAAUGCUGACUAGGAAAUGGCUAUCGAGUCUGCCACACAGUAAUGCUGAGUAGGAAAUGGCUAUCGAGUCUGCCACACAGUAAUGCUGACUAGGAAAUGGCUAUUGAGUCUGCCACACAGUAAUGCUGACUAGAAAAUUGCUAUUGAGUCUAUCACACAGUAAUGCUGACUAGGAAAUGGCUAUUGAGUCUGCCACACAGUAAUGCUGACUAGGAAAUGGCUAUUGAGUCUACCACACAGUAACACAAACCCAGAGCAUUGCUACUGAGUCUACCACACAGUAACACUGACCCAGAAUGUUGCUAUGGAGUCUACCACACAGUAAUGUGGACACGGACAUUGCUAUUGAGUUUCCAUGCAGUAACACUGACUUGAGUAGUCCACACAGGAAAAACACACAGUAACAUUGACUUAGGAUGUUGCUACCGAGUAUUCCACACUGUAAUACUGACCCCAAAGUGUAGCUUUUCUAUGGAAAAUUCAGACAGAUAACUGAAGUUACCUGUCAAUAGGUGCAAUAAAAUCGUUAUUAUCCGUUUAUGUUAACACUCCUGAUACUGAAGGCUGGACUCUGCAGAACACUGGAAAAAAAGCGAAGAUAAACAUGCAUCUCGCUGUGUGACAUUAGUGCAA